This 253-nucleotide ribosomal RNA is filed under the name uncultured bacterium. Its description in RNAcentral is "partial 16S ribosomal RNA". It matches the Rfam family "Bacterial small subunit ribosomal RNA", at positions 524 to 776 of the family's 1533-position model. The record is from RNAcentral.
UACGUAGGGGGCAAGCGUUGUCCGGAAUCACUGGGCUUAAAGCGUGUGUAGGCGGAUCGUUAAGUGCCUUGUGAAAUCCCACGGCUCAACCGUGGAACUGCUUGGCAUACUGGCGGUCUUGAGCAACCUAGGGGCGAGCGGAACAAAUGGUGGAGCGGUGAAAUGCGUAGAUAUCAUUUGGAACGCCAAUGGUGAAAACAGCUCGCUGGGGGUUUGCUGACGCUGAGACACGAAAGCCAGGGGAGCAAACGGG